GGCCGCAGGCGGAGUUCCCGGGCGCGAGGAGACCGGGCUGGGCGAGGGCUUGUCGGCCUGGUUAGCUGACCCCGCGGAGCGUGUGUGCCUCCUGGGUGUCCCGGAAACCUCCGAGUGGACCGGCCGGGAAAAAGCCCAGCCUGACUCUCGAGAGUUUGUGGUCUUUGUUUCCGGGAGGAGAAUUCUGGUCUUGCUCUGAGGCUCCUAAAUGCCCACGACGUGUCAACUGGACGUUGCUAACCCACGCACGGUCCAGUGGAGCGCGGGAACGCGGAGCGGGGAGACCCCUUUCGAGAUAUAUAGAGGAUACAUUUCCAGAAUAA
This 323-nucleotide long non-coding RNA is filed under the name Fukomys damarensis (Damara mole-rat). RNAcentral's name for it is "lncRNA (ENSFDAG00000024990.1)". Lineage: Eukaryota; Metazoa; Chordata; Mammalia; Rodentia; Bathyergidae. The record is from RNAcentral.